GGGAUGACCAAAAAGAUGAUGGAUAUGAUCACCAUUAUCAAGCGUCUGAUCGGAAAACUGUCGGUCAAAAUGGUAAAGCAGGUGGUGGUACAUGGUCAGAGGGAGGCUUUCUCUGAGGUAUGUAGCAUCUGAAAUACACCACAAGGGUAGUUCCUGGUUUCCUCAAAUGAUGAAAAUUUGAAUUAGUUGGAGUAGCUCAUACGGAUGGCUGGUCAACACAUUGGUAAAGCUAAAGAUGAUGAUUACAC
This 248-nucleotide unclassified non-coding RNA is filed under the name Hevea brasiliensis (rubber tree). Lineage: Eukaryota; Viridiplantae; Streptophyta; Magnoliopsida; Malpighiales; Euphorbiaceae. The record is from RNAcentral.